This 543-nucleotide small RNA is filed under the name uncultured Fusobacterium sp. RNAcentral's name for it is "bacterial SSU rRNA". The stretch from base 1 to 341 matches the Rfam family "Bacterial small subunit ribosomal RNA", at positions 1194 to 1533 of the family's 1533-position model. Lineage: Bacteria; Fusobacteriati; Fusobacteriota; Fusobacteriia; Fusobacteriales; Fusobacteriaceae. The record is from RNAcentral.
CAUGCCCCUUAUACGCUGGGCUACACACGUGCUACAAUGGGUAGAACAGAGAGUUGCAAAGCCGUGAGGUGAAGCUAAUCUCAGAAAACUAUUCUUAGUUCGGAUUGUACUCUGCAACUCGAGUACAUGAAGUUGGAAUCGCUAGUAAUCGCGAAUCAGCAAUGUCGCGGUGAAUACGUUCUCGGGUCUUGUACACACCGCCCGUCACACCACGAGAGUUGGUUGCACCUGAAGUAGCAGGCCUAACCGUAAGGAGGGAUGCUCCGAGGGUGUGAUUAGCGAUUGGGGUGAAGUCGUAACAAGGUAUCCGUACGGGAACGUGCGGAUGGAUCACCUCCUUUCUAAGGAGUAUAAGUCUUUCUCUAUUCUAUUGGUAAUGUUCUUUACAUUACUUCUGAACAUUGGAAACUAUAUAGUAGAACAAACAAGAAAAAAAAUUAACUCUAACAAUUUCUUAGAGUUAGCUGUCAAAAAAUAGAUUAAAAUAAUUAAGGGCACACAAAGGAUGCCUAGGUAGUAAGAGCCGAUGAAGGACGUGGUAAG